This 504-nucleotide ribosomal RNA is filed under the name uncultured bacterium. Its description in RNAcentral is "bacterial SSU rRNA". It matches the Rfam family "Bacterial small subunit ribosomal RNA", at positions 26 to 518 of the family's 1533-position model. The record is from RNAcentral.
AGGAUGAACGCUAGCUACAGGCUUAACACAUGCAAGUCGAGGGGCAGCAUGGUCUUAGCUUGCUAAGGCUGAUGGCGACCGGCGCACGGGUGAGUAACGCGUAUCCAACCUUCCCCAUAGUAGGGGAUAGCCCGGCGAAAGUCGGAUUAAUACCCUAUGUUAUUCGAUGCAGACAUCUAAGUUGAAUCAAAGGUUUACCGCUAUGGGAUGGGGAUGCGUCUGAUUAGGUUGCAGGCGGGGUAACGGCCCACCUGGCCCACGAUCAGUAGGGGUUCUGAGAGGAAGGUCCCCCACAUUGGAACUGAGACACGGUCCAAACUCCUACGGGAGGCAGCAGUGAGGAAUAUUGGUCAAUGGGCGAGAGCCUGAACCAGCCAAGUAGCGUGCAAGGAUGACGGCCCUAUGGGUUGUAAACUGCUUUUAUGCGGGGAUAAAGUGCGGCACGUGUGCCGUUUUGUAGGUACCGCAUGAAUAAGGACCGGCUAAUUCCGUGCCAGCAGCUGC